AGUAGAACGCUGAAGCUUGGUGCUUGCACCGAGCGGAUGAGUUGCGAACGGGUGAGUAACGCGUAGGUAACCUGCCUCUUAGCGGGGGAUAACUAUUGGAAACGAUAGCUAAUACCGCAUAAAAGUCGAUAUCGCAUGAUAUUGAUUUGAAAGGUGCAAUUGCAUCACUAAGAGAUGGACCUGCGUUGUAUUAGCUAGUUGGUGAGGUAACGGCUCACCAAGGCGACGAUACAUAGCCGACCUGAGAGGGUGAUCGGCCACACUGGGACUGAGACACGGCCCAGACUCCUACGGGAGGCAGCAGUAGGGAAUCUUCGGCAAUGGGGGCAACCCUGACCGAGCAACGCCGCGUGAGUGAAGAAGGUUUUCGGAUCGUAAAGCUCUGUUGUAAGAGAAGAACGAGUGUGAGAGUGGAAAGUUCACACUGUGACGGUAACUUACCAGAAAGGGACGGCUAACUACGUGCCAGCAGCCGCGGUAAUACGUAGGUCCCGAGCGUUAUCCGGAUUUAUUGGGCGUAAAGCGAGCGCAGGCGGUUAGAUAAGUCUGAAGUUAAAGGCUGUGGCUUAACCAUAGUACGCUUUGGAAACUGUUUAACUUGAGUGCAGAAGGGGAGAGUGGAAUUCCAUGUGUAGCGGUGAAAUGCGUAGAUAUAUGGAGGAACACCGGUGGCGAAAGCGGCUCUCUGGUCUGUAACUGACG
RNAcentral lists this ribosomal RNA (702 nucleotides) under uncultured Bacilli bacterium. RNAcentral describes it as "bacterial SSU rRNA". It matches the Rfam family "Bacterial small subunit ribosomal RNA", at positions 60 to 745 of the family's 1533-position model. The record is from RNAcentral. Lineage: Bacteria; Bacillati; Bacillota; Bacilli.